This is a long non-coding RNA of Aegilops tauschii subsp. strangulata, 814 nucleotides long. RefSeq lists it as uncharacterized. NCBI's taxonomy places the organism in Eukaryota, Viridiplantae, Streptophyta, Magnoliopsida, Poales, Poaceae. The record is from RefSeq and is a predicted model, not a curated record.
UACUCUCUCACGAACUCACAUGUUCCUCGGUCCACCCCACCCCGGCUCCUCUCCCCAUGAUCUCCUCGCCGCCUCCACCACCCACGCCGGCCGGUUCCGAGGAGCCUGGUCUAAAAUCGGGCUGGCCUGCUGGAGCCAGGUCCUCUCCCAGCACAUUGUUGAUUGAUUCACGGGAAGAGCGAGACACCAAGAACUCGGGGAAGUCGUGAGGCCGCCUGCCUCCGCCCGCCCAGGACUCGAUCUUGAUCCCCGCCGACAAGCCGAUCCCCGUCCUCCUGCCUGUGAGAGAGAUUGGACGCCGCGGGAGCGCCUAGAUCCCGCCAUGAAUCCCGAGUAUGAUUACCUCUUCAAGCUAUUGCCUAUUGGAGACUCAGGUGUUGGCAAGUCAUGUCUUCUGUUAAGAUUUGCAGGUGAUCGACGAGGACUACUGCGGCCCGAUGGGAGUCGUGCUCUUCAACUACUCAGAGGUAGACUUCACCGUGAAGCCCCGCGACCGCGUCAUACAGAUUAUCGUCCAGGUGAUUGUGACGCAGGAGGUCCCCGGGGUGGAGGACCUCGAUGCCACCGUCCGGAGGUCACCGAGGUGGAGGACGACGCCACCGUCCGGAGUUCCUCAAGGUGGAGGACCUCGACGCUUUGUACAUACAUCUAGAAGUGGUCUAGUUAGGUUGGUGGUGAAACGCUAGGGAAGGUACCAACCUUUUGAUGAUGGUUGUGUGUGUCCUCGUGAUCUCUUCGAGUUGAGAUGUUGAAUGUUGCAUCCAUGAACACUGCAAGUGUUAAGAUGGUUCUGUGAAAUUUAUUUUGCACUGGA